This 2515-nucleotide small RNA is filed under the name Pan troglodytes (chimpanzee). RNAcentral's name for it is "retained intron". The record is from RNAcentral. Lineage: Eukaryota; Metazoa; Chordata; Mammalia; Primates; Hominidae.
CGCGCGGAGGUUCUCAGCUUCCCCAGGAGCAAGACCUCUGAGCCCGCCAAGCGCUGCCGCACGGCCCUCGGCAGCGAUGGCACUGAAGGACUACGCGCUAGAGAAGGAAAAGGUUAAGAAGUUCUUACAAGAGUUCUACCAGGAUGAUGAACUUGGGAAGAAGCAGUUCAAGUAUGGGAACCAGUUGGUUCGGCUGGCCCAUCGGGAACAGGUGGCUCUGUAUGUGGACCUGGACGACGUAGCCGAGGAUGACCCCGAGUUGGUGGACUCAAUUUGUGAGAAUGCCAGGCGCUACGCGAAGCUCUUUGCUGAUGCCGUACAAGAGCUGCUGCCUCAGUACAAGGAGAGGGAAGUGGUAAAUAAAGAUGUCCUGGACGUUUACAUUGAGCAUCGGCUAAUGAUGGAGCAGCGGAGUCGGGACCCUGGGAUGGUCCGAAGCCCCCAGAACCAGUACCCUGCUGAACUCAUGCGCAGAUUGUGAGUGGUCUCUGUCGGGAAAGAUGUAGGGAUUGGUUCUCCAGGAUCUUGUUUGUGACUGUUUUCUCCCCUUAGUGAGCUGUAUUUUCAAGGCCCUAGCAGCAACAAGCCUCGUGUGAUCCGGGAAGUGCGGGCUGACUCUGUGGGGAAGUUGGUAACUGUGCGUGGAAUCGUCACUCGUGUCUCUGAAGUCAAACCCAAGAUGGUGGUGGCCACUUACACUUGUGACCAGUGUGGGGCAGAGACCUACCAGCCGAUCCAGUCUCCCACUUUCAUGCCUCUGAUCAUGUGCCCAAGCCAGGAGUGCCAAACCAACCGCUCAGGAGGGCGGCUGUAUCUGCAGACACGGGGCUCCAGAUUCAUCAAAUUCCAGGAGAUGAAGAUUCAAGAACAUAGUGAUCAGGUGCCUGUGGGAAAUAUCCCUCGUAGUAUCACAGUGCUGGUAGAAGGAGAGAACACAAGGAUUGCCCAGCCUGGAGACCACGUCAGCGUCACUGGUAUCUUCUUGCCAAUCCUGCGCACUGGGUUCCGACAGGUGGUACAGGGUUUACUCUCAGAAACCUACCUGGAAGCCCAUCGGAUUGUGAAGAUGAACAAGAGUGAGGAUGAUGAGUCUGGGGCUGGAGAGCUCACCAGGGAGGAGCUGAGGCAAAUUGCAGAGGAGGAUUUCUACGAAAAGCUGGCAGCUUCAAUCGCCCCAGAAAUAUACGGGCACGAAGAUGUGAAGAAGGCACUGCUGCUCCUGCUAGUGGGGGGUGUGGACCAGUCUCCUCGAGGCAUGAAAAUCCGGGGCAACAUCAACAUCUGUCUGAUGGGGGAUCCUGGUGUGGCCAAGUCUCAGCUCCUGUCAUACAUCGAUCGGCUGGCGCCCCGCAGCCAGUACACAACAGGCCGGGGCUCCUCAGGAGUGGGGCUUACGGCAGCUGUGCUGAGAGACUCCGUGAGCGGAGAACUGACCUUAGAGGGUGGGGCCCUGGUGCUGGCUGACCAGGGUGUGUGCUGCAUUGAUGAGUUCGACAAGAUGGCUGAGGCCGACCGCACAGCCAUCCACGAGGUCAUGGAGCAGCAGACCAUCUCCAUUGCCAAGGCCGGCAUUCUCACCACACUCAAUGCCCGCUGCUCCAUCCUGGCUGCCGCCAACCCUGCCUACGGGCGCUACAACCCUCGCCGCAGCCUGGAGCAGAACAUACAGCUACCUGCUGCACUGCUCUCCCGGUUUGACCUCCUCUGGCUGAUUCAGGACCGGCCCGACCGAGACAAUGACCUACGGUUGGCCCAGCACAUCACCUAUGUGCACCAGCACAGCCGGCAGCCCCCCUCCCAGUUUGAACCUCUGGACAUGAAGCUCAUGAGGCGUUACAUAGCCAUGUGCCGCGAGAAGCAGCCCAUGGUGCCAGAGUCUCUGGCUGACUACAUCACAGCAGCAUACGUGGAGAUGAGGCGAGAGGCUUGGGCUAGUAAGGAUGCCACCUAUACUUCUGCCCGGACCCUGCUGGCUAUCCUGCGCCUUUCCACUGCUCUGGCACGUCUGAGAAUGGUGGAUGUGGUGGAGAAAGAAGAUGUGAAUGAAGCCAUCAGGCUAAUGGAGAUGUCAAAGGACUCUCUUCUAGGAGACAAGGGGCAGACAGCUAGGACUCAGAGGCCAGCAGAUGUGAUAUUUGCCACCGUUCGUGAACUGGUCUCAGGGGGCCGAAGUGUCCGGUUCUCUGAGGCAGAGCAGCGCUGUGUAUCUCGUGGCUUCACACCCGCCCAGUUCCAGGCGGCUCUGGAUGAAUAUGAGGAGCUCAAUGUCUGGCAGGUCAAUGCUUCCCGGACACGGAUCACUUUUGUCUGAUUCCAGCCUGCUUGCAACCCUGGGGUCCUCUUGUUCCCUGCUGGCCUGCCCCUUGGGAAGGGGCAGUGAUGCCUUUGAGGGGAAGGAGGAGCCCCUCUUUCUCCCAUGCUGCACUUACUCCUUUUGCUAAUAAAAGUGUUUGUAGAUUGUCAUCUUCUAGCCUGGGCCUGACUUCCAUUAAAACAGAGUAUUGUGCGUUUUUUA